This 330-nucleotide ribosomal RNA is filed under the name uncultured bacterium. Its description in RNAcentral is "bacterial SSU rRNA". It matches the Rfam family "Bacterial small subunit ribosomal RNA", at positions 28 to 334 of the family's 1533-position model. The record is from RNAcentral.
GACGAACGCUGGCGGCGUGCUUAACACAUGCAAGUCGAACGGAUUGCCUGUGGCCUUUUGGUUGUGGGUGGUGAGUGGCGAACGGGUGAGUAACACGUGAGUAACCUGCCCUCUUCUUUGGGAUAACGGUCUGAAAGGGCCGCUAAUACCGGGUAUUCACUUUGCCUCGCAUGGGGGUGGGGUGGAAAGAUUCAUCCUUGUUUGGGUGUUUUGGUGGGGGAUGGGCUCGCGGCCUAUCAGCUUGUUGGUAAGGUAAUGGCUUACCAAGGCGAUGAUGCAUAGCCGAGUUGAGAGACUGAUCGGCCACAAUGGAACUGAGACACGGUCCAU